This 302-nucleotide long non-coding RNA is filed under the name Homo sapiens (human). Its description in RNAcentral is "non-protein coding lnc-ZGRF1-6:1". Lineage: Eukaryota; Metazoa; Chordata; Mammalia; Primates; Hominidae. The record is from RNAcentral.
AUGGUACCGAAUGCGAAGAAGGAAGCUCCUGCCCCACCUAAAGCCGAAGGAAGCUCCCGCCCCUCCUUUUGGCGAAGUCUUUGAAGGCCAAAAGACAGGGCUGAAGGGUGUCCACGGCCACAAAAAAAACACACACAAAAAACAAAAAACAGAAGAUCCGUACGUCACCCACCUUGCGGCGGCCCAAGACACUGCGAUUCUGGAGGCAGCCCAAAUAUCCUCGGAAGAACGCCCCCAGGAGAAACAAGCUGGACCACUCUGCUGUCAUCAGGUUUCUGCUGACCACUGAGUCUGCCAUGAAG